This 253-nucleotide ribosomal RNA is filed under the name uncultured bacterium. RNAcentral's name for it is "partial 16S ribosomal RNA". It matches the Rfam family "Bacterial small subunit ribosomal RNA", at positions 524 to 776 of the family's 1533-position model. The record is from RNAcentral.
UACAGAGGGGGCAAGCGUUGUUCGGAAUUACUGGGCGUAAAGGGCGCGUAGGCGGCCUGCUAAGUCGAACGUGAAAUCCCCGGGCUCAACCCGGGAACUGCGUCCGAGACUGGCAGGCUCGAAUCCGGGAGAGGGAUGUGGAAUUCCAGGUGUAGCGGUGAAAUGCGUAGAUAUCUGGAGGAACAUCGGUGGCGAAGGCGGCUUGCCAGAAUGCGCUCGACGGUGAGGGAUGAAAGCUGGGGGAGCAAACCGG